AAAAUAUAAGUGGACGUGGCCGGUUACUUAUACAUCCCGACACAAAAAGACACAAUGAACAGAUCUGAAAGUACUCGCAGUUAUCUGACAGCUAGUUCAAAGCCACUAACAACUAAUAAAAAAAAUCAUGCAUCUAAGACUAAACUAUCAAUCCGUACACAUCCAACAUCCAAUGGAUUUAGUGUAAAGACAUCAUAAACAGACAGAGAAAAACAUGACCUUGUGCA
This 227-nucleotide long non-coding RNA is filed under the name Mytilus galloprovincialis (Mediterranean mussel). Lineage: Eukaryota; Metazoa; Mollusca; Bivalvia; Mytilida; Mytilidae. The record is from RNAcentral.